RNAcentral lists this ribosomal RNA (253 nucleotides) under uncultured bacterium. Its description in RNAcentral is "partial 16S ribosomal RNA". It matches the Rfam family "Bacterial small subunit ribosomal RNA", at positions 524 to 776 of the family's 1533-position model. The record is from RNAcentral.
UACGUAGGACCCGAGCGUUGUCCGGAUUUACUGGGCGUAAAGGGUGCGUAGGCGGCCUUGUGAGUCAGCGGUGAAAUCUCCGGGCUUAACCCGGAGGGUGCCUUUGAAACGGCAGGACUUGAGUGCGGGAGAGGGUGAUGGAAUUCCUGGUGUAGCGGUGAAAUGCGUAGAUAUCAGGAGGAACACCGAUGGCGAAGGCAGCACUCUGGGCCGGUACUGACGCUGAGACGCGAAAGCGUGGGGAGCAAACAGG